GUCUGUGUAGAGCACACUGAGGAGUACUUACUGAGGAGUACACACUGAGGAGUAAUUUAAGUAUUGUAUUUUGACCAAGGAAGGGGGGCAGAGUAAUGGUGGUGACAGAUGGAGUUGCACCAAGGAGACAUGGGUUGGGGCAGGGAGGAAGGAGGUGGAGGAUCCUGGUUAGGUCCAGGCUAGGGAGAGAGGUGCCCUUUCUCCCUCCCUCCCUCUCCCAUCAGGGCAGAGCAGAAAGGAGAGCAGGUGGAGUGAUUCAGGGUUGUUAAUGAAAGUGUGUCCCUGGGAGGCCUCUCACCUUGCAGUUGACCAGAAGAGCUGGAAUCUCUGUCCUGCUGGUCUUCCUCCUGCUCUCCUGGCCAUGAAUCAGGGCCUGCAUCCGGGGAGGCUCCCCCUGAAGCCAAUUCGGGUUUCCCUCCACCAGGCGUCUUUGGAUCACACUGCGCGGCUGCUGGCUCCAUCACAAAACAAUGAAGGAGGAAGUGGGACGCAGAGAGAAACGCACAUGGGGAGAACGCCGCGUGAAGGCUGAGGUCGGGAUAAUGCAUCUGCAAGCCAAGGAACACCUAAGAGGACCAGCAAACCACCAGAAGCCGGGGGAGAGGCGUGGAACAGACCCUGCCUUACAGCUGUCAGAAGGAACCAACCCUGCCAACACCUUCCUGUUGUACUUUCAGCUUCCAGAACUGUAAGAUGACAAAUCUCUAUUGUUUUAGCCACUCAA
Molecule: small RNA, 724 nt
Filed under: Pan troglodytes (chimpanzee)
Lineage: Eukaryota; Metazoa; Chordata; Mammalia; Primates; Hominidae
Description: processed transcript
Source: RNAcentral